This 368-nucleotide long non-coding RNA is filed under the name Brachypodium distachyon (stiff brome). RNAcentral describes it as "long non-coding RNA (BDIS_LNC000751)". The record is from RNAcentral. Lineage: Eukaryota; Viridiplantae; Streptophyta; Magnoliopsida; Poales; Poaceae.
UAUAAAAGGGUUUAUUGCAUCAAUAGGCAAUCCCAUAAUUUUUGGAUAAUUAUUUGGAGUUGAAAAACUAUUUGAUUUAAAUAGUUAUAUAGCCCUAAAGGCAUUUAUAGGGCAAAUGUAUUUUUAGAUAUUUUAUUUUGAGGGGAAAUUACUCCUAGAAGUUGAAUCAUGAUAAAACGUGUUUUUACAAAUUUUUUGAAAUUUAUUUGGAUCAAUUUGGAGUUCAAAAUCAAAACAUAUUAAAGAAAUGAGAAAAAGGGAAAAAGAAAAGGCUAAAAGAAAAACAAAGGAAGAAACCGGACCGGCCCGGUCGUUUUGGGCCGAACCGGCCCAGUCCCGACCGCGCCUGAGCCGAACUGAGCCAGCCC